GAUCCUGGCUCAGGAUGAACGUUAACUACAGGCUUAACACAUGCAAGUCGAGGGGAAACGGACAUCGAAAGCUUGCUUUUGAUGGGCGUCGACCGGCGCACGGGUGAGUAACGCGUAUCCAACCUGCCCAUCACUUGGGUAAUAACCGUUGCGAAAGUAAGACUAAUGCCCAAUCGACAUCCCACGAAGGCAUCCGAAUGGGUAUUAAGAUUUAAUCGGUGAUGGAUGGGGAUGCGUCUGAUUAG
This 245-nucleotide ribosomal RNA is filed under the name uncultured bacterium. RNAcentral describes it as "partial 16S ribosomal RNA". It matches the Rfam family "Bacterial small subunit ribosomal RNA", at positions 15 to 244 of the family's 1533-position model. The record is from RNAcentral.